GUAGGUGGCAAGCGUUGUCCGGAAUUAUUGGGCGUAAAGCGCGCGCAGGCGGUUCUUUAAGUCUGAUGUGAAAGCCCACGGCUCAACCGUGGAGGGUCAUUGGAAACUGGAGAACUUGAGGACAGAAGAGGAAAGCGGAAUUCCACGUGUAGCGGUGAAAUGCGUAGAGAUGUGGAGGAACACCAGUGGCGAAGGCGGCUUUCUGGUCUGUAACUGACGCUGAGGCGCGAAAGCGUGGGGAGCAAACAGGAUUAGAUACCCUGGUAGUCCACGCCGUAAACGAUGAGUGCUAAGUGUUAGGGGGGUUUCCGCCCCCCUUAGUGCUGCAGCUAACGCAUUAAGCACUCCGCCUGGGAGUACGGCCGCAAGGCUG
This 373-nucleotide ribosomal RNA is filed under the name uncultured organism. Its description in RNAcentral is "partial 16S ribosomal RNA". It matches the Rfam family "Bacterial small subunit ribosomal RNA", at positions 527 to 896 of the family's 1533-position model. The record is from RNAcentral.